GAUGAACGCUGGCGGCGUGCCUAAUACAUGCAAGUCGAGCGAACAGACGAGGAGCUUGCUCCUCUGACGUUAGCGGCGGACGGGUGAGUAACACGUGGAUAACCUACCUAUAAGACUGGGAUAACUUCGGGAAACCGGAGCUAAUACCGGAUAAUAUAUUGAACCGCAUGGUUCAAUAGUGAAAGACGGUUUUGCUGUCACUUAUAGAUGGUUCCGGGCCGCAUUAGCUAGUUGGUAAGGUAACGGCUUACCAAGGCGACGAUGCGUAGCCGACCUGAGAGGGUGAUCGGCCACACUGGAACUGAGACACGGUCCAGACUCCUACGGGAGGCAGCAGCAGGGAAUCUUCGGCAAUGGGCGAAAGCCUGACGGAGCAACGCCGCGUGAGUGAUGAAGGUCCUCGGAUCGUAAAACUCUGUUAUUAGGGAAGAACAAAUGUGUAAGUAACUAUGGACGUCUUGACGGUACCUAAUCAGAAAGCCACGGCUAACUACGUG
This 497-nucleotide ribosomal RNA is filed under the name uncultured bacterium. Its description in RNAcentral is "partial 16S ribosomal RNA". It matches the Rfam family "Bacterial small subunit ribosomal RNA", at positions 28 to 507 of the family's 1533-position model. The record is from RNAcentral.